AAUCAAUUUCCAUUAGCUGUAGUAUAGGUUCUAUAAGCUCAUGAGGUCAGGACUUUUCAUCUUCUCUCACCACUGACACACGGUCCCGUCACAGUGCUUGGCACAUAGUGGGUAUACUGUAAGCAUGCCAGUGGCCGAGUGAAUAAGUGAAUGGUACACUUCGAGCCUUAAGAGCUUAAUGGUUAAUUGCCCGGAUUCCGGCAGCAGCUUGCCAUUGUUCCAGUUCCAGUGCUUCAGGAGUUAUGCGACCUUGGACAAGUUACUUAACCAUCCAGGAACUUCAUUUGUGAAUUGGGGCUGACGGUAGUACCUGCUUCAGGGGGUGUUGUAUUAUAAAACUGCCUGGCACACACUCAGUUAUUACUUUCCAGUAUGUGCCAUGUAUACAGCGUGAGAACUCAGGAACACUAGCAAGUAGGGCCAGAGUUCCUAACUUCGUAUAACCAACUGUCUUUUUCAAAAGGAGCGUAUGUGGCAGAUUAUAUUCGCUCAAAACAUAGAGCCAGUAUCUCCUGACCCUUGUGUUCCUCCAGAACACUGCCGCUCCGCCAUUAAGAGGUGGACUCUAGGGGCACCUGCGUGGCUCAGUCAGUCAAGUGUCCAACUCUUGGUUUCGGUGUCAGGUCACAAGCUAAGGGUUCGUGGGUUCGAGCCCCACGUCGGGUUCCAUGGUGUCAGCACGGAACCUGCUUGGGAUUCUCUCCCUCCCUCUCUCUCUGCUCCUCCCCUGCUCAUGUGCACUCUCUUUCUCUCUCAAAGUAAACAUAAAAAAAAAAGGUAGAAUCUAGCCCUCCACCCAUUGAAUUUGGGGUGUUUAUGACUUGCUUGUAACUGAUACAAUGGGGCUGAAAUAACGCCCUGUGGCAUCCAUGGCUAGGUCUUACAAGGCAAUCCAGCGUCUGCUUUGUUAGUGGGAACAUUCCUCACCUUUGGAGCCCUGCGCUCCCACGUGAGAAGUUAGCCCAGCCCGAGGCUGCCGUGAAGCGGGGCAGCCGACGGCCAUGUGGUGAGGCCACAAGUAGCUUUUUCAGCCCUAGCUGAGGUCCCAGCCAGCAGCCAGCAUCGGCCACCGGAUGCAUGAAGAGGACGGUCACCUCCAAGUGGUCCCAGCCGUGGCCACCAGCUGUCUUUUUGCUGAGGUCCAGAUGUUGUGGAGGAGAGAUGAGCCAUACCCCCUGUGCCCUUCCAGUUCCUAACCUAGCCCGCAGGAUUAGGGUAGUAACGAUGGUUAUAUUACUCCCACUGAGUUUAGGGUAGUUCCAGUAGUAACUGGAACAACAUAUAGGAUUCCUAGACAGUGAACACAUAUGUGCCAACAUCCAUACUAAACACGGUACACACAUCUACACCCACCCUGGAGACUUCUCUACGCCUCCUAAAGGGAUGGGCUCCACAUCUACCUCAAAGAAUGCACGACACUUGUCAAUCGCCUGCCUAAAGUCUCUUUGCUGAGAAACCCUGUCCCCUCCCUUAUCUGAUCCAUACACCUUUCUAGCCACCCAACCCCUUUGUGUCCCAAGUAAAGCAGAAGUUGUGGCUGAAGUCAUUAAUAGGCCUACAAUCUCUGCCCAGGGAGGCCCUUUGCUAGAAUGGCCACCAGCCUGUCCCUGCGUGGUCCGGGGACAGACCCCUGUGCGACCAGCUCCAUCGCUUUCGGAAUCGUGGACUGCCUCACCUUCCACGGGAGCUGGGUAAUAGUGAACCCACAAACAGUAUUUCCCUAUGCGGCGGGCACUGAUUUCAUCCUCAGAAGAGCUCGGUGAGAUGAGAAAACUGAGGGCAGAGACAGAAAAUAGUUGGCCUAGAGUUCCACAGCUAGCCGGUGAAGGGGCUUGGAGCUGAGGCUUCCGCUUCCAGACGUCUUUCUUUAAAGGAAACGGAGAGGAAACAGUAAACGAGGCUGGAAGGAAACAAACGGAGUCAAUUGUGAGGAAACCGACUGCAGAUCUUUCUGCCAAGGGGGAUAAUGGCUCCGUGUGGCAGGUGAGGCUACUGGAGAGUCUGGGGAUGAAGCACAGAUAGAAUGUAUCUUUUAUUAAGUAGAGAAAACUGGGAAUUCUACUACGUGAUACCAAGGUUCCAGUUUGAGCGGACUCCACAGAAACCCUUCCCAUCUACAUGCGCCUCUAGCUGGGAAGAUUGCGCUGCCUUCCCGACCACAGGUGCCACGUGGAGCUGAUUCACGCUACCGCGCACAUGGUCCCCUCCGGGUCGCCCCAAGGGGCGGGGGCCGAGGGCAUGGCGGGUCUCAAAGAGCUACGUUACAAGUAAACUCAUGCCGACCUUUUCAGGAGUCCCUUGUGAGACUUUAUUUUAAAAGGUCUGCGCAGUGGGCUGUGGGGCAGAGGGCUGCGUAAGCGGUGUCGUGUGGCCAAGUGGAAUGUCCCAAUCUGUGGAAUCGUAGCGGGUGACCCGUCCGGUCAGGCAUUGUAGGAAGAGGACGACACGCUGCCACCGUGGCCUGUCCAAUUGGUGUGGACAAACCGUCCGGGGUUGGCUAAGAGUUCGUAAGUGUGAGCCCCGAAGUAAUCCCGCUGAGCCUGGAAAACAAGGAAUUGGACGGGUUGGGAUAACACGGGGACACGGACCCUCGGGCCGUGUCAGUGUUUACCACCUGCUCCGAAAGCUUACCUGGAUAAGGUUGGCGGGCAGCAUCUCGUGUCUGUAGCCGUCGUAGAAGGAGAGGGCGGUGGUGAAGCAGGGCAUGGGGAUGCCCGCCCGGACACCGGUGCUCACCGUCCGCCGCCAGGAGUCCUGAGCCAGAAAGAGCCAAAGACUCGGAGUCAGCCCCCAGAGAGGAGAACGGGCUGCGUUUGAAAUGACAACGCUCACGGGCAUCGAUGCUGGUGAGGGAAACACAAAGCCCGGUGUGGCAGAAUUCCCACACCGCCCAGCUCUGGGCUACCUACCUGGCAGUUUUCAACAGCAGACUUAAAAAAGUCAUCCAGUAGUAGAUUCUGAAGGUGUGGGUUCCGAUCGAAUGCGUCUUUUAUCUUUCCUAGGAACACGCUGAAACAAGCAAGAGGGAAGAAACCCAUGAAACUUCACCUCCGCGCGCUCAAUGCCUGCCAGAAGGCAGGGAAGGAAGCCGGAAGCUGGUACAUCCGCCCGCGAGGUACAGACUGACUCUCCUUAUCCCUUCAAGCCGGCUGUUUGCUCAAUGAAAACAGAGCCCACAUCCCACGAGGCAAGGCCAGAGGGCAUGACCGUCCUCCCAGAACCAGUUUAAAGGGAGUAGGGUUGACAGUCUAGUUAGAACAGCCGACCCCGUCCUGUCACCAGCGAGGGGACUGGCCGCGCACAUCCUAGGGAAACCGUCCCCAGGUGCAGAGGCUGCGACUCCCAGCACGGCGCCGCGGCGCGUCCCCGCACUUACCUCCUGAUGAUGCAGCCCCCCCUCCACAUCAGGGCGAUGCCACCGUAGUUGAGGGUCCAGCCGAAUUCCGUGGCGGCUUGUCUCAGCAGCAUAAAGCCUUGCGCGUACGAGAUGAUCUUGGAAGCAUACAGGGCCUACGGAACGACGGACGCGUCAGAGCUACGGUUAGCCACGUCCACCCCGCGGGCAGGGCAGGGCCGGGCCUGGCGCGGACAGCGGUGUCAGGACGGGGCUGGACUCUGCCGCCCCCACCCGGGGCCUCCCACGUCUCCAGGGGCCGCUCCCACCCCCACUGCCGCCCAAGGCGCCAACCGCGACCACUGCCAGGGAGCGGGCCCCACCUUCUGAAUGUCCUCCAGGAAUGAUUUCUUAUCACCUUCAAACUGGAUCUUUUGGGGACCCUUCAGCUUUUGGCUGGCUUGAACCCUCUCGUCCUUCAGAGACGAUAAGCACCGAGCAAAAACUGCCUCUCCUACGUGGGAGAGAGGAUAACGUUACCGAAGUUCACACGUGAAACUGGACAGAAAAGAGUACACGUAAGCCCGAGAAGUUGAGGAAAAAAUAGAAAUGGAGCCGGAUCUCCAACUGUACAAAGAGCCGGAAGUCUCAGUCUUGGGCUGCAAAAUCUAACAUGGCUCAGAAAGAACUUUUUUUUUUAAGUUUAUUUAUUUACUGAGAGAGAGAGAGAGAGAGAGAGAGAGAGAGAGAGAGAGAGAAUCCCAAGCAGGCUCUGCCCUGUCAGCAAAGAGCCCAACUCAGGGCUUGAUUCCAGGAACCGUGAGAUCAUGACCUGAGCCAAAACCAAGACUCGGAUGCUUGACCAACUGAGCUACCCAGAUGCCCCAGGAAGAACGUUUAUACAAAACUCUAGGCAGCUGACUUGGAAACUAAAACUCCACAAACAAGUCAAUCUUCCAACAUAAUGUAGGCAUCAACCACAAAAAUCAACACGCAACUCAAUGGGGAGCUUUGCAGAAAAAGCGAGGAGGUAAAGCCACCAUGAUUCACAAUUACUCUGUUGGUUCCCAAGUCAAAUUUCAAUUUCAGUUGAGAGGACUUUAAUUUUUAAAUGCUCAUCAAAGACUCUACUCUAAAAGCACUCGCUACUCCUCAAAAACUAGUGAAUAACAGGCAGCCUCAGAAUUUGGUGGGAGGCUCAACUAUGGCGGCAUUGCCUGCACACGGGGGGUGGUGUGAAACCACUAGAACACUGAGAGGUAACCUAGACUCACCCCUCAAAACACUCCAUUUUCUAUUUGUGAAAAUGUAGUUUCCAGUACAUCUAUAAUCACCACAACUUUGUUUCACUGGACUAAAAAACAUUUUAGAAAGGUAUUUUCAUAUCAAGACAUUUAGUAUCUUCAAGAACUAACCCUUAUAAAAGACUACUUGCUCAACUGACAAGGUCUUUUUUUUUUUAAUGUUUAUUCAUUUUUGAGAGGGGGAGAAGGGGCAGAGAGAGAGAGAGGGAGAUACAGAAUCAGAAGCAGCUCUGAGCUCCAAGCUGUCAGCACAGAGCCCGACGCGGGGCUCGAACCCAUGAACCACGAGAUCCUGACCUGGGCGGAAGUCAGACGCUUCACCGACUGAGCCAACCAGGUGCCCCUCAACUGACAAGUUCUCUAAUGAGAAGAAUUCCUCUAGUCAUUCCUUUCCCCGCAGACAAAAAUGAAGUAAACUCUCUGGGGACCAACAAAGGGCUUUGUUUUUGAGGAAAGGGUGCCAGCCACACACACUCGAGAACGCUGUCAAGAAUGCUGGGUAGUCCUUCUGUCCCCGGGCAGCCCCCUGGCCUGCACACACCCAAUGACUCGGCACAAGCAGGAGGAAGUAUCUGUGCAAGGCCACUGGCACUGGGAGGCCAGUGUGGCGCAAGCCCUCAGCGUUACUCAAGGCUCAGCCCGAAGAUUUACUUCCCCGGUAGUUCAGCAAACACACACGGUGCCCAUCCGGGGAUUAAGCCUGGCCUGCCUCUGCUGGGUAGAAGGGGUACACCGUCUCUCAAACAAGAGAGUGGGAUCCUUUCUGAGCCCGCAAUACUCUCCCAUUUGGGUCAGUGAUGACUACACUGUUCCCAGCUAUUGUCCCCUCGGUCCCCAGCCCAGGCAACACUCAGAUUUGCUAAACCUCGGCCACUUCCUUCUGCUUGGCCUGCUUCUCCUUACGGUGUCUCACAGCCCCAGCUCACUGUCACCAAGGAGCCACAAUUAAUCAGGAAAUCAGAAGGAGGGAGGAGGCCAGGGAGGGAAAGACAACCUUUAACCGGAAGGGUGAGGAGGAAACUGUGUUUUAUUGGAAAGGGAGCCGUUCUGCCAUCAGCAAACAUCAGCCUUUCAUUACACACACUAGACCCCUUGUUUUAUUCUUUUCUUUUCUUUUUUUAAAUUAAUUUGUUGGGUUUUUAAAAGGACACCUUUUAAAAGGUGCUGUCUGGGCACCCCGUUCUCCUUUUUCACUCUUGCCAGAAAUGUAGCUAUUUUAUUCUGAAAGGACCAACUUGUGGUUUUAUUAAUCCUCAUUAUUUGUUCUCUAUUUCUGCUUUCUAUGAUUUCCUUCGCCCUGUAUCUUUUUGAGUUUGAGGCUUAGCUCACGGCUAUAAGACAAACAACAUGCACGAAAAGGAUACACACCAAUGGUCAGGACAGUGGCUUUCUUCUACAAGAAGGGCAAGGAACUUAGGACAAGAAUGUUAAAGGACUUGAAAUGUGUAGGCAGUAUUUUAUUUUUAAAAUAUCGGGGGGGGGGAACCUCAGCAAAAUAUUAAUAAAUGCUGAGUACAUAAGCUUAUGUUAUUCUGCGAACUUUUGUAUGAAAAACUUCAUUACAGUGAUCUGACCCAUUAGAAAGUCAUGGAGGUCACCGACUACAGUUCAAUCACUAAGACAAAAACUAUCCCAGGGGCACCUGGGUGGCUCAGUCGGUUAAGCCUCUGGCUCUUGAUUUCGGCUCAGGUCAUGAUCUCAUGGUUCGUGGGUUCGAGCCUCACGUCAGGCUCUGCGCUGAGAGCACGAGCCUGCUUGGGAUUCUCUCUGUCCCUCCCCCACUGAUGCUCUCUUUCUCUCUCUCUCAAAAUAAAUAAAUAAACUUAAAAAAAAAAAAAAAAACAACAAAAAGCUAUCCCAAAGGUCAAACUGGAGAAGAAAGCCAAGAAUUUCCAAAUGUAUCUCAAAGUCCGUAUGACUGAGAGGAGGUUACCGGGAAGAGACUGAACAAUGUCAGCCUCGCACACCAGAAGAGCAGAAAGCACUCUGGAGGCUGACGAGGGCUGCACACAUUCUCCAAAGACCCGCUCCUUAGCUGCCAGUCUACACCAAUUUUCCAGGAGGACGUCAAGAGCAAAACAAUGAGAUAAAAGGCUCCAGGUGGAAGCGGCACCUUACCGAUGAGGGUGACAGGAACGCCGUACUCCAGGGCUGAGAUGGCAGUCCACUUCCCUGUGCCCUUCUGCCCCGCGCUGUCCCUGAUCUUCGGCAGCAGGUGCUUGCCGUCGCUGUCUUGGAACUUGAGGAUGUUGGCCGUGAUUUCAAUCAGGAACGAGUCGAGCUCGGUCUUAUUCCAUUCCUCAAAUGCCUAGUGCAGGACGCGAGAGGAAACACUGUGAGAGAAACCAGGGCCACACGGGAGAAGCCCCCUUAACCGGCUCACUGCUUUCCUCUGCGAAUGCUCACCGACGCUCACGAUUUGCUCAGCACGAGAGGCCAACAGGGUCUAGGUAUGUGCCUGAACGCUGCUCCCCGAGCUGAGCUCUCUGCUCCCCAGGAGACAGUUGUAUCUAUUUCCACCCGGUUAUGCUGACUUCCGAUUUCCAGCACAGCUCUUUCCCCCGAGGCAAGCGCCCCUCGCCCCACACCAUCGCCUCCUCAGAGGCCUUCCCCGCUCCCCUGAUCUAUAUCUACCCCUUACAACAGUUUCCUCCUCUUUGUAACAGGUACCACCAGCGGGCUUCAUCUAUUUAUUUAUUUUCAUGUUUUUGAGAGAGAGAGAGAGGGAGAGAGAGAGGGGGAAAGAGAGAGCACACAUGCGUGAGCAGGGAAGGGGCAGAGAAAGAGACAGAGAAUCCCAAGCAGGCCCCAUGUUGCCAGCACAGAGCCUGAUGUGGGGCUCGAUCCCGUGAACCAUGAGAUCAUGACCUGAGUCAAAGUGGGCCACUUCACUGACUGAGCCACCCAGGUGCCACACCCCUGAGUUUUCUAUUGUCUAUGCAAUUAUUAUUGUGUCUUCCCAGCUCCAUGCAGGAUAGCGCCUUUGUGGUUUUUUUUUCACUGUCACAUCCCCAGUGUUUAGAACAGUUCCUAGCGCGGACAGAAGCACUUCUAUGUAUUCGUUGAACACAUGUAUUAAGUUUGAAGUAAACCAAUUAAAUAUGAACACAAUAAAAAAAAGCACUAUUUCUUUGAAAACUAAGAUUGUUUUGGGGGUGCCUGGGUGGCUCAGUCGGUAAAGCAAAGUGGGGAUGACACCGUUAAACCUCAGGAGGAAAAACCGUACAAAAUCUGGAAGGACUCUGCAGUGCGUACCUCACAAGUGUCUCUAAAUCACGCUCCACUCGAAGUGACUGGAACUAGAAAUUCUGGAUGAGAAAGGACUACGAUGCGAGCCGGGAGAGCCACAUUUAGAGAAAAGGGCGGGAAUGGCGAUGAGUGUGCUCUCCUGUAUUUUCAGUUAAAAGAAGGGUUUGCCUCGUCAACGAUGCUGAAGAGAACAGAGUACUGAGGCUUACCUUGAAACGUAUUUGUAAACGAUCAAACCGACGGAGGGCUGGCCAGAUAAUCGACACGGCAAGCGUAGUGUAACGCUAAGCAAAGAAUCAGGGUGGUGUGCCCACAAGUGCUCACUACCGAAUUCUUUCAGCUUUGCUGUAUGUUUGCACAUCUUCAUAAUAAAAUAUCGGGGUGGGGGCGGGGGGUGUUAUGUUUCCCCACUCUGGCUAACUUUUUUGACUAACUGCCAAACAGCCAGUCCCAACCUGACCAGAAAAGCAAGCUUCUCGGGGUGCCCCGCUGGCUUCGUCAGUGGAGUGUGCGACUCUUGAUCUUGCGGUUUUGAGUUUAAGCCCCACCUUGGGUGUAGAGAUUACUUUCAAAAUAAAAUCUUUAAAAAAAAAAAA
Acinonyx jubatus (cheetah) is the source of this 8483-nucleotide long non-coding RNA. RefSeq lists it as uncharacterized. The transcript is spliced from 3 exons. The record is from RefSeq and is a predicted model, not a curated record. Lineage: Eukaryota; Metazoa; Chordata; Mammalia; Carnivora; Felidae.